UCCGUAGUGGUGUAACGGCUAGCAUACUGAGCUUUCAGCAGCAAACUACCUCAGAGAUCCGGGUUCGAUUCCCGGCUAUGGAA
Glutinoglossum americanum is the source of this 83-nucleotide non-coding RNA. NCBI's taxonomy places the organism in Eukaryota, Fungi, Ascomycota, Geoglossomycetes, Geoglossales, Geoglossaceae. The record is from the annotation of a GenBank genome assembly.